This 497-nucleotide ribosomal RNA is filed under the name uncultured bacterium. RNAcentral's name for it is "partial 16S ribosomal RNA". It matches the Rfam family "Bacterial small subunit ribosomal RNA", at positions 28 to 507 of the family's 1533-position model. The record is from RNAcentral.
GACGAACGCUGGCGGCGUGCCUAAUACAUGCAAGUUGAGCGCUGAAGGUUGGUACUUGUACCAACUGGAUGAGCAGCGAACGGGUGAGUAACGCGUGGGGAAUCUGCCUUUGAGCGGGGGACAACAUUUGGAAACGAAUGCUAAUACCGCAUAAAAACUUUAAACACAAGUUUUAAGUUUGAAAGAUGCAAUUGCAUCACUCAAAGAGGAUCCCGCGUUGUAUUAGCUAGUUGGUGAGGUAAAGGCUCACCAAGGCGAUGAUACAUAGCCGACCUGAGAGGGUGCUCGGCCUCAUUAGGACUGUGACACGGCCCAAGCUCCUUCGGGGGGCAGCACUAGGGAAUCUUCGGCAAUGGACGAAAGUCUGCCCGUGCCACGCCGAGCGAGUGAAGAAGGUUUUCGGAUCGUAAAACUCUGUUGGUAGAGAAGACCGUUGCUGAGAGUGGAAAGCUCAUCAAGUGACGGUAACUACACAGAAAGGGACGGCUAACUACGUG